GAGGAAGCUUCUCUGGUGAUGGCUGGGUGAGAUACUGAUCUGAGUCCGGGUCCCGUGUGACCACUGGAGAAUCCCAGCCACUGACAUUGUUGGAAGUGUUCUCUGUGACCAGCUCCCAGGACAGAAUGAUCCCACGCCUCAGGAAGGGAAAGGGAUUACUGAGUGGUUUUCAAUCACCGUGGAUACUGAGCACAUGUAGAGGCUUCCGGUAGAAGCAGGCCCAGAGGCAGGAAAUAGUGUGAUGUGUAAAAACAAAGAAAACUUUAAGGCAACAGCUCACUGCAUGGCCCUGAUGUCACUUAACCUCAGCAGCAAAACAUCCCAGCUGUUUGACAUCACAAUAGUCAUUAGAAUCCGCAAUCCCUGUCCGAGUGUGAGGAAACAAAUGAGGAAACCAGAAGCAAAGAUAUUCUAUAGACCCUGACCAACAUCUUCUCAAGUGCCAAAUUCAUGACAAGCAAGGGAAAACAAAACAAAACAAGAAGACCUGAGGAAUGAAGGUGAGUCUAGAUUGUAUCAAGUUGACAACUGAAAUGGAUCGCCACUGAGAGGUGACCUGGGGUUCUAUCACCAGCAUCAAAAAGGGUUGACACUGGGUGUGAUGCAGGCCUGUUACAGCCAGGAGGCUGAAGCAAGGAGAUGGAUUUCAGUCCAGCCUGGGCUACAGAUU
Molecule: long non-coding RNA, 670 nt
Organism: Mesocricetus auratus (golden hamster)
Lineage: Eukaryota; Metazoa; Chordata; Mammalia; Rodentia; Cricetidae
Exons: 5
Source: RefSeq, a predicted model, not a curated record